AUCCCUGAACUUGGGUUGAGGGGUAAUGAGCAUUGAUCGCAACGUAGGAACAGGUGUCUUGUCAUGAGCCACCGGCUGGUGGCUGCUCACGGAUAUUAUGACCCCCCCCCCAACUUACAGGGGAGAAAAUGUAGGUGGGUCCCAAGAAAGAGAUUUUGUCAAAACCAAAGCCUGGACCCUCGGGAUCCAGGACCUAAACAUAGGAACCUGCCAAAGCUCCGAUCUUGUUUCCCAAACUUGGUUACUCAUCAGGAUCACUGGGACUACUUGGUAAAAAUACAGAUUCCUAUGUUUGCCCUGGCUGGAAUGCA
Molecule: non-coding RNA, 311 nt
Organism: Callorhinus ursinus (northern fur seal)
Lineage: Eukaryota; Metazoa; Chordata; Mammalia; Carnivora; Otariidae
Source: RefSeq, a predicted model, not a curated record